This 253-nucleotide ribosomal RNA is filed under the name uncultured bacterium. RNAcentral's name for it is "partial 16S ribosomal RNA". It matches the Rfam family "Bacterial small subunit ribosomal RNA", at positions 524 to 776 of the family's 1533-position model. The record is from RNAcentral.
GACAGAGGAUGCAAGCGUUGUCCGGAAUUAUUGGGCGUAAAGAGCUCGUAGGCGGUCUGUCGCGUCGGCUGUGAAAACCCGGAGCUCAACUCCGGGCCUGCAGUCGAUACGGGCAAACUGGAGUACUGCAGGGGAGACUGGAAUUCCUGGUGUAGCGGUGAAAUGCGCAGAUAUCAGGAGGAACACCGGUGGCGAAGGCGGGUCUCUGGGCAGUAACUGACGCUGAGGAGCGAAAGCGUGGGGAGCGAACAGG